Molecule: non-coding RNA, 28 nt
Filed under: Mus musculus (house mouse)
Lineage: Eukaryota; Metazoa; Chordata; Mammalia; Rodentia; Muridae
Source: RNAcentral
UUGAGGUUUUGCUUCUCUCCUGAUUAGU